Lethenteron reissneri (Far Eastern brook lamprey) is the source of this 262-nucleotide long non-coding RNA. RefSeq lists it as uncharacterized. Lineage: Eukaryota; Metazoa; Chordata; Hyperoartia; Petromyzontiformes; Petromyzontidae. The record is from RefSeq and is a predicted model, not a curated record.
GCAAGUCCAAGUCGAGUCUGAAGUCAUCAAAUUCAUGACCCGAGUCUGACUCGAGUCCAAGUCACAUGACUCGAGUCCACACCUCUGCAAGUCUUCUCGAGUCAAAAGGCGCAAGUCCAAGUGAAGUCACGAGUCAUUGAUGUUAAAGUCCAAGUCGAGUUGCAAGUCUUUGUACAUUUUGUCGAGUCGAGUCUGAAGUCAUCAAAUUCAUGACUCGAGUCUGACUCGAGUCCAAGUCACAUGACUCGAGUCCACACCUCUG